CGUAUCGGCUCCUCGGAUAAUCUCGAUCAGUUUCAUUACCGGAGGAGGGUUGAAGAAGUGCAUGCCUAUCACCUGCAGUCCUGCACCAUGUAAGUCACUUCACAAAUCCUGAAAGAGCGAAUUAAAAUUCUUCGCAUGUACAGAUAGUAGAUGCCAGGUUGCUCGUCACCUGAGAGGGGCGUUUGGUAGCUGAAGCCAGGCGGGUUAUGGAGAUGGAGCUCGUGUUGGAGGCGAGGAUGGCCGAGGGCUUCGUGACCUUAUCCAGCUCCACGAAUAGCUUCUUCUUGACAGCUUCGUUCUCCACGACGGCCUCGAUCACAAGAUCCGCGUCCCUGAGAUCCUGCACGGCGGAGACGCACCUUAUCCGCUUUAUUGAGUCCUCGCACGCGGCCUGGAGUCGAAGCAAGCCCAGAACUUGUCAGGGAGAAGGCUGGAAAACCGCGCACCAGUUCGGGAAGGGUGCUUUGGGAGGUCGACAGAACGCUCUUACUUACCUGGGAGAGCUGGCCCUUGGCGGCGAGGCGCCGUAGGGAGGCGGAGAUGGAGAUGACGGCACGGGAGAGGGCAGUGGGGUCGGCGUCGAGGAGAAGUACGGCACAGCCUCCGGCGGCGGCGAGCUGGGCGAUGCCCGAGCCCAUCUGCCCCGCGCCUAUUACGCCCACCGCCGCGAUCUCACUCGCUGUCGCCAUUGUUUUGUUUUGUUUCGUUUGCAAGGAAGCGGGCGGUCGGGCUUGUCGCUCUGGUUGGUAAUGGUAGUGGGGUCUGGGUGGGAAUGGGGAAACCGGAAAAGGGCGUGUCUAGAAAACUUAUCCACCUUGGACUUGGGAGCCCUCCUCUGCCUCUACAGUCCGCAGGCUGCCGCUAGCUUCAUCGGUGGCUAUUUUUCAUGGUCUAUUGUUUAUAGGUCCUGUUUGGCACAGCUUAUUUUCAGCUUCUUCACAAAUUUAAGCUGAAGUUCUGCCAAACAGACAGCUUCUGCAGCAGCUUAUCAGUUCAGCUGCUUCUUAAAAUGAACUAAAAGCAGCCAACAAGCAAAAGCUGCUUUUUACCAGCUUAUCAGAUAAGCUACUUUUUCAACAAGCAGCAGCUGUACCAAACAGGGCCAUAAUUUGUAGAUUGUCGUGCUGUAUUUUCUCCCUCCGGUCUCGCAAUAGAGUUCGUUUUAUUAUUUACCUUUUAUCUACAUUUAAAUAAAUAGUAAUAAAUCUACAUAUAUAUAAAACACAUAUUAAUAACUAUAUAAACCCAAUAAAAAGCUAAAACAAAUUCAAUUUCGAAUUUACGUAUGAAAUUGAUGAUUGUGUUAUAUAUAUGUGCAUGUGCCCAACGGAUUAAACUGGUGAUUCAUAAACUGUGUAUUAAAUUGGUUUGUGCAUGUUAAAUUAGUUUGUGCGCGUGUGACUAUAGAUUAAAUUGAUGAACAUUUGUGUUAUGUACUUGUGUUUAGGGAUGGAAAUUUGGCUCGGGCUCGGUGAGGCUCGGCUCGAACCGGCUCUCGAGCCAAAACAAGCUCGAGCCGAGCCUGAUUUUAUAGCUCGUCAGAACUACGAGCCGAGCUAACAACAUCAAAUACUAUUAUACCAUAUUAUUAUGUUUUUAACUAUUUUAUUGAAUUUUUUGAACUUGAUACAUGAUACACUUAUAUUGUAGUCUAAAAAUAUAUUAUAUAUAUUUUUAAUCUUAUAUAUAAUAAAAAUAUAUAAUUUAUAUUUUAAACGUGAUUUAGUGUGAGGCUAGCCUGCUCGCGAGCUGUUAUCGAGCCGAGUCGAGCCGAGCCUCUCGGUCAGGCUCGCAACAUGACCGCGUCGAGCCGACGGUCCGGCUCGUUUCCAGCCCUACUUGUGUUAGAUGAACUAAUAAGUGGUGAACUGUGUUAAUUUGGUGUUGAAUUUAUAUUUUCUACAGAAUCGUGAGAUUUUAAAAAAACAUUUUUAAAUUAACUAGCAGUUAAUAUUUUUUUCUCUAGUGGCUCAUGAGAUAAACGAGCUAGCUCGAACUCACAAACGAGAAGAGCUGAGCCAGCUCGAUCCUACAGUCUCCCCGUAUUAGCUCGCUGCUUGUUGGAGCGAGGCACGUUAUAAAAAACAGAGGCGAGAGAACAUCUUAAAAAUAUAGUAUUUUAAAUCAGCCUUUCUUUAUCUUCCUGAAUAUUUUUAAUAAUGUCCUCUUACCUCCAUUCUUGUUUUGGUUUACACUAAUAGAUUAGUUUGCAUUUGAUAUGUAUAUAAAAUGUUAUAAUUUAUCACCUAUAAAAUAUUAGAAUAUUAUAAUUUAUCGCUUAAUCUACAAAUGUUAUGUAGGCUACAUGGUGUCUUUGCAUGCAUUACCAUCCCUGUAAUAUCGUCCAACAUACAUUCAAUGUGUUGUAUCUUAGACUUACCAUGUGGGUUAUUUCUCCGUUGUGAUCCUUUUGACUUCCGUAAGGGUUGGGCCCAUAUGUUGGUUCCUUAUGACUCCUAGCGCCCCCUCAUCGGUAUGACCAUUGGUGCGCCCUUCAUGCCUUCUAACUUUGCGCGAGAGGUCUGGGCCCUUACAUGCCAUGUGUCCUAAGGCGUCAAGGGCGAUGGAGGCUUCAUUUUCUAGGUGUUCUAUGGCGCGAGGGGUCCGAGGGCCCUAUCUGUCAUGUGCCCUAGGGUACGAGGGGUCCCGAAGGCUUCAUUUGCUAGAUGUCUCGAAGAAAAAGGUCUUAUUGGGGGCCUUCUUCUACCUUAUGUCCUCAAAACACUAAUUCAAUAAGUGUUUUCUACCUUGUUCUAUAUGUUGCAGGGUUAAUGCCGAAGGUAAGUUUCGCCCAAAAUUACCGAUGCACAUGAUUCUAAGGAAGAAGCUUUAGGCAAACACUGUACGCAUACUUGAUAAAGUUGAAUAAAAUCACAAGAAGCUUUCGAAGCUCAAGAGUUCAAGAUGUGAGAAGGAUAAGGACAACAUUGUCCUCGAUAAUGUAUGACAAUUUAAAUGUAUAUGUUCUAGGACAUGAUUGUAAAUUCGCUAAACCUAUACUGCACGCCUAUAAAUAGAUGAACAGUGUCAUGCAUUAGAGACAUGAUUUUCCUUACCUCGAUAAGAACCAGACAUAUUUCUCUUCAUAAAAAGUUGUACCUUUCUCUCUCUAUAUUGUAAUCUUACGAAGCAUAAGGCACUUGUGC
This 3146-nucleotide long non-coding RNA is filed under the name Zea mays. Its description in RNAcentral is "long non-coding RNA (ZMAY_LNC005150)". The record is from RNAcentral. Lineage: Eukaryota; Viridiplantae; Streptophyta; Magnoliopsida; Poales; Poaceae.